This 432-nucleotide ribosomal RNA is filed under the name Theileria ovis. RNAcentral's name for it is "SSU rRNA". It matches the Rfam family "Eukaryotic small subunit ribosomal RNA", at positions 455 to 923 of the family's 1831-position model. Lineage: Eukaryota; Apicomplexa; Aconoidasida; Piroplasmida; Theileriidae. The record is from RNAcentral.
CACAGGGAGGUAGUGACAAGAAAUAACAAUACGGGGCUUAAUGUCUUGUAAUUGGAAUGAUGGGAAUUUAAACCUCUUCCAGAGUAUCAAUUGGAGGGCAAGUCUGGUGCCAGCAGCCGCGGUAAUUCCAGCUCCAAUAGCGUAUAUUAAAAUUGUUGCAGUUAAAAAGCUCGUAGUUGAAUUUCUGCUGCAUUGCUUUUGCUCCUUUACGAGUCUUUGCAUUGUGGCUUAUUUCGGACUUUGUUUUACAAUGUCCGGAUGUUUACUUUGAGAAAAUUAGAGUGCUCAAAGCAGGCUUUCGCCUUGAAUAGUUUAGCAUGGAAUAAUAAAGUAGGACUUUGGUUCUAUUUUGUUGGUUUUAGGUACCAAAGUAAUGGUUAAUAGGAACAGUUGGGGGCAUUCGUAUUUAACUGUCAGAGGUGAAAUUCUUAG